Molecule: non-coding RNA, 30 nt
Filed under: Homo sapiens (human)
Lineage: Eukaryota; Metazoa; Chordata; Mammalia; Primates; Hominidae
Source: RNAcentral
UCCUUUCAGACAACUGCUGCAGAUGACACC